AGUUGCUAACGAUGGCUUGACCGUUAGCAGCGGGAAAUUGAGGAGAAGGACAUGCUACGAGUGCGGACAAAAGGGUCAUAUCUCUUCUGCUUGCCCAAAUAAGAAAUCUGCAGAAACAACAAAUACAAACACAAAUUGACCAUUAAUGGAAGGUCUUUUUUUUUUUUCUCCUAUCACUUGAAUUAUUGCUACUAUUUACAUGUGAGUCCUGCUGUACUUACAAAUUGGUAAAAUUUUGAGGAAAAAAUAGAUGCUAUUUAUAUGAGCUUCAACCAUUGAAUUUUUGGAAGCUUCAAAGGCUGUCAAAAUGUUUCCAUGU
This 319-nucleotide long non-coding RNA is filed under the name Gossypium barbadense (sea-island cotton). Its description in RNAcentral is "long non-coding RNA (GBAR_LNC009711)". Lineage: Eukaryota; Viridiplantae; Streptophyta; Magnoliopsida; Malvales; Malvaceae. The record is from RNAcentral.